CCGAUGCUCUAGCUGCCUCUGAAAAGCCUGGCCUGCCAGUGGGAUCCUUCCCCUCAUUGGGCCCCACUGGUCUCCCUGCUAACAUGUGACUCCCAGUGGGCCCCUUGCAGGAGCUGAGACAAGCCUUAGACCCCACCGCUGGUCCUUCCUUGUCCUCCCUAAACCCAUCUGACCCUUGGACCUCCGAGCAACCUGGAAGCGCUAUCUGCUUGAACAUGACAUCUACUAUUUCAGAGUUUAGGCUUCGAGAUUAUGGACCAGCUAAAGGUCACUUAACCCAGGUUAAUUUGGUGUGUUUUUACCGGAAUUUUUGGUUUGGAGCACAUACAGUGUACUUCAUUGCCACUGCAAGAUAUUCUAGAACUUUGAGCAGAAGAGGAAUUAACCUUGGCUUAAAUGGCUUAUUAUAGUCCUAACUAGUUCAUUCCAGCACCAGGCCUGGUAUCCCUCUCUUAGCCCAUUAGUGUAGCUGAGGAGUAAGGCAUCAUAGCUCUGGUCUAAUGACACCCUGGGGCGAGUCAGCCAUGAAAAAGCCAUUCCGUCCCUCAGAGACUAGGAGGGCCCCAAAAGCAGGAUCAGGAAACUUUCUUUACUCACUGUUAUAAUCAUUAAACUCCAUCCCAAUCUGCACAUGUGCAUGCAUUUUCAUGUUCUGUCAUUUCAGUGUCCUCUAUAUCUAGAAAGCCCUUCAACUUUUCCCUGCUUGGAGCAAUCCUGUUCAUUCUUCAAACACCACCUUCUGUGGAGCCUUUUCUGAUUUUUCUACUCAUAACAAACCUUCUCUUCUUCCGGCUUCUCUUAGUACUUUGAGUCUUUCUCAGUGCAUUUAGCCCACUCUGCCUUCUGGUUCACAUGUAUGUCUCAUUCAUUAGGUCAACGAUCAAGUAGUGCCUAUUUGUACUAGGCACUGGGGGAUACAGGGUGCUCUCACAGUUUCAGUGGAAGCCCAGAGCUGGGUGGAAUUUUUACAUCCUUUAUUGGACUGGGAGCUUCUUGGAGACAGGACCUGGGUCUGCUCCCAGCUAAGGGCUUGGCAGCAAAAAGUACUCGGAAAAGUGACAUUGAAACUCAGCACCAAUGACUCUGAGAAAAUUGGGUUAGAAUUCAAAGAAAAGUUAAAAGUUAACAAAGGUAGCUCCAGAGUAUUUCCAGGAGGGGCUACAGUGGCUCUGAAAUCAGCAGUGUUGACAUGGAAGCCAGAGACAUCCGAGAUCCCCAGUGGAUUGGGCCUGUGGGGUAAGAGGGUCCACUGUCCUCUUCCAGGACCAACUUGGGAGUUAGAUGCAGGACCAGUCUGGACAUUUAUCACACAUUCCAGCCUAAAGGUUUUUUUUUGGCUUUGACUGAGCAGACCAUGGAGGCAAGCAGGUUUUCUUGAGGGCCCAGAAAUGAGUUACAAGCCAAGGGUCAAGCUGGUCAGAUGAUUAACACUACACUGUUUGGGUGGCACAAGAGAAAAGCAUAAUAAUGUGAAUGUCAUUCUUUGUGGAGGGUGCCUGGUUAUCAGAUGCUGAAAUAGAAAAUGUCAUUUGGAUUUUUACUAGGAAUUCUCAUCCAAAUUGUGUCAAUGAUGUAAUAAAACUGAAUGACCGGCCUACCAAAGUAAAGUGAGUUCUAACCACACACAUAAGCAUACUUAGAAAUUGUAUAGAGCUCAGAAAGCUGCUCUCCUCUGAGGCCUGAGAGCAAGAGCGGCCACUGCAAGGGAUUGGGGUCAGGAAGCACUUUAUUUAUGCACUAUAUACCAUAUUGUUCACUCCAGCCACCCCAUUAUGUUCAAUCUUAUUUUUCACUAUCUGCUUGCCUGUGCAGAAAGAGCUCCAAAUAGUAAGUCUCAGUGUUUUCUUUGCCUCUAUUUCCUUUAACGAAAUAAAAUUGUGAAAAAUAUAUAAUAUUAAACAGCACCCAGUCAUUCUCAGAGAGCUACCACACAAGGAAAGAACCACUAUUUCCCCAACUUUUUUGCAUAGUAAAUUACUCUAAAUUCCACCUUCCACCACUUCCCCCAGAAGUUUCGAUGUAGACAUAGGUUUAUUUAGUGAGUUGCAAUUCAGCCUGGGGGUGGAGUGCCAGAAUACAAGUUGCUUUUCCCGAGGGGUAACCCCAGGUCUUGGGGAUAUCUGCAGAUAAAUGAGAUGUUGGAAAAUUUGAGAUGUAAUUGCGGGAUUCGACCGGUUUCCCCUUUCCCUCGGCAAAUGGCUGCAGCCAGGUCCCUUUAAGAGACCAGGAACCCGCCGGGCGUCCGAGCCCGAAACGCAUCCUCUUCUCUGCUCCUCCCCUGUCCCCGCGCGCCGAAUGGUUCGCGCCGGCCUAUAUUUACCCGAGAUCUUCCUCCCGGACCGCAAGGAUGUGAGGCUGGCCAGCCGGACACCGCUCGCAGCACGGGACGGGCACGCCGCACGGGCGGACAGCAGUCCGAGGGGACCUCGGGAGCGGAGUCGGACACCCCCGGAGGGAAGAAAUGAGGUAGCGACCGUCCCCAGAGCCGACCAUGCGCGCGCGCCGCCCUCGGCGCCCCGUGCUGUCCGGGUCGAGCCAGCCGGGACAGUGAGCCGGCCGAGCCCGAGUACCCCGCGUCCGGCCGGAGCGAAGAUGCAGUGAGCCACAGCCGGAGUGCUGCGCCGGGCCCACCGCGGCCAGCGGGAGCAGCGUCUGACUGCACUUGGGGCAAGCAGCUGAUUCUGGGACCAGCCCAGUCGAGGGACUCUCGGUCUUCCGCACCCCUUGGGGUGGGGGAGCACUGGCCCCUGGGCACACUCGCCAUCCAGUUUCCGCAGCUUCUAGUCUCAGCCCAGGGGAUUGUGUGUGUGUGUGUGUGAGAGAGAGAGAGAGAGAGAGAGAGAGAGAGGUGAUGGAGAGG
This is a long non-coding RNA of Leopardus geoffroyi (Geoffroy's cat), 2860 nucleotides long. RefSeq lists it as uncharacterized. Lineage: Eukaryota; Metazoa; Chordata; Mammalia; Carnivora; Felidae. The transcript is spliced from 3 exons. The record is from RefSeq and is a predicted model, not a curated record.